RNAcentral lists this ribosomal RNA (253 nucleotides) under uncultured bacterium. RNAcentral's name for it is "partial 16S ribosomal RNA". It matches the Rfam family "Bacterial small subunit ribosomal RNA", at positions 524 to 776 of the family's 1533-position model. The record is from RNAcentral.
UACGUAGGGGGCAAGCGUUGUCCGGAAUCAUUGGGCGUAAAGAGCGUGUAGGCGGCUCGAUAAGUCUGCUGUGAAAGUCCAGGGCUCAACCCCGGAAGGCCGGUGGAAACUGUCGGGCUAGAGUCCGGAAGAGGCGAGUGGAAUUCCCGGUGUAGCGGUGAAAUGCGCAGAUAUCGGGAGGAACACCAAUGGCGAAGGCAGCUCGCUGGGACGGUACUGACGCUGAGACGCGAAAGCGUGGGGAGCAAACAGG